CCCACGACACUCGUUAAUUAUGAAACGGGAAGUAGGCAAAAAUUCGCAUUUGUUUUAAUAUGUGGUAUUAGCGAUCCGUCGGUUAAUAACGCCCUAAAUUUGAAUUCAAAUAAAAGAGAAACAAAAAAUUCUCAAAGCAUAUGCAAUAAGAAAUGGGCGUGAACAAGUGGUAUAAGUGAUGAAAAGGUAUCGAGAAGGAAAACGGAAAAGCAGUUUAAUGCUAGUAAUGAUUUGUCUCAAGCGCCCAGCAGUCUCACAUUGCCGCCGGCCAGAGUUCAGAGGGUUGACGGCCUCGGACGCGGAUGAUUCCAAAGUCUUGAGCCUAGCUGCUGUAAAGCAAAGGAAAAAAGGAGAAUAAAAAGAUAGGAAGGUUAUAGUGACACAGAGAACGAUCAGACCUGUGGAAAGGGUGAAGAUCGGUGCCACUGUCGAAUAAGAAGGGUCUCCCUCACCCUGACAUAAGAGCACAAAGUAAAAGCGGGCGCUAUUGGAAGGAAUAAGGAAGAGGUAGACCUCAUGGUUCACGAGGAGGAAGAUACGGGUAAGGGGAUGCAGGGACGUUGGAGGGACAGCCGGUGAGUAGUAGGGGGAGGUCGCACGUGUAACCGACAUCCCCACUUCUCCCGCCUGCCCAUUCCGCAUUUUGCCACAAAAGAGCGUCCUUCACCGAUCUUCCCCCACUCACUCCACCAGGAACACCAGAAGGCACAUGGAAUACUCGGUUCGUGUCGUACCUUUUCGACUCCAUCCCACCCAGCUGCCACCCGACGACCCACUACCCACUGGCAUCCAAUCCCAACGGCUGC
RNA transcript from Cephus cinctus (wheat stem sawfly), 806 nucleotides. RefSeq lists it as uncharacterized. The transcript is spliced from 3 exons. Lineage: Eukaryota; Metazoa; Arthropoda; Insecta; Hymenoptera; Cephidae. The record is from RefSeq and is a predicted model, not a curated record.